GAUGAACGCUGGCGGCGUGCCUAAUACAUGCAAGUCGAGCGAACGGACGAGAAGCUUGCUUCUCUGAUGUUAGCGGCGGACGGGUGAGUAACACGUGGAUAACCUACCUAUUAGACUGGGAUAACUUCGGGAAACCGGAGCUAAUGCCGGAUAAUAUUUUGAACCGCAUGGUUCAAAAGUGAAAGACGGUCUUGCUGUCACUUAUAGAUGGAUGCGCGCUGCAUUAGCUAGUUGGUAAGGUAACGGCUUACCAAGGCAACGAUGCAUAGCCGACCUGAGAGGGUGAUCGGCCACACUGGAACUGAGACACGGUCCAGACUCCUACGGGAGGCAGCAGUAGGGAAUCUUCCGCAAUGGGCGAAAGCCUGACGGAGCAACGCCGCGUGAGUGAUGAAGGUCUUCGGAUCGUAAAACUCUGUUAUUAGGGAAGAACAUAUGUGUAAGUAACUGUGCACAUCUUGACGGUACCUAAUCAGAAAGCCACGGCUAACUACGUG
Molecule: ribosomal RNA, 497 nt
Filed under: uncultured bacterium
Lineage: Bacteria
Description: partial 16S ribosomal RNA
Rfam family: Bacterial small subunit ribosomal RNA
Source: RNAcentral